UUUUACUAUCUCUUUCGGAAAUACGAUCUCCGAGGAUUUUCGGGUGGUAAUUCCGUCGUAACCGUUUUUGACCCCAACACCGGCUUGAUACAAGGUUUCCCUGAAGAGAAUAUCCGAAUAUUUUCCAGGGAGAAAUGUAGAUUCUUUCCCUUUCCGAAAUAUUUCUUCAUAAAUAUAGGAGAUCCGUUGAUAUCUCACGCGCCGAAGGAGGGCUAUUUGAAUUUUGAAAUCAUCUUGAGAUCCGAGGUUUCCAGAGCACGCGAUCUUGGCCUUUAUAUGCUUCAGCUUUUCCCCAUCUUCUUUACAUCCAAGCCGACAAUAUCUUUACUUCAGGUAUUACAUUUUAUCCCUCUAUUUCUUUGCUACUGAGAAUUUCUCUAGGUAGAUCGAGCCGUCUUAGUCAGUUAGGGUUAGAGAUUGACUUCCCUACGAUCCUCGCGGCUUGUUGAAUAGGACCAAAGGAAAUGGUGAACUGGUGGUCAGUGAACCUGUGGAUGUCUUUAUUCUUUGUGGAGAAAUGGUGAGGCUCUCGGAAAAGACUUGCUUCAGAUGACAUUCGUUGUGCCAUACACAGUGCAGACCAAUGAAGCCUAAAAUAACAGAUUUAUAUAUACAUGUUGAGUAGGUUAGAUUACAAAGAACGAUGGUUAUCAAUUUGAGGAGUUUUAGAUUAUGAGGCUGUACCUUUCGUCGAUCAGUAGGAGCUCAAGGCGAAUGAGAAAAUUUGGCGGUGCAAAUAGCCAGAGAAGAAGUGUCAGAAGUAAAAUCAUAGCAUAUACUAAGAUCUCUUGGAACAGAGCAUUACCGCGUCUCCCUCACCGCAAAUAGCACAGUUUAAGAUUUGUUUCAUACCUUUGCUAGCUCCAUCGUGAGGAAUAUGAGUUCUGGAUUACUGAGAUAUGAAAAUGACAAACAAAAGGCUUGAGCUGGCUUUCCUAGCUUCCAGAAGUCCUCUUGAGUCACUGUAAGCACCUGAUGACACACAGAUAACCGGCUAACUAAUGAGUUUGCAAAUCAAGAAAAGAUAAUGCUCAGCUCUUGGAAAUAUCAUUCCAACAUUUGGGUCAUCUAGUAGAUAAGGAGCUUGAUAGAGCACAACCACCUGCAAAAAUUGUUUGUUAAUUUUAUUAUCUAGACGAACUGAAGAUCACAUGUAUGUCUUCAUUUUAAGUCUCUUUUUCUAGAGUAAAGCCAAUAAUUAGAGGCACAAGAUGAUCAAAAGUGUAUACCUGUUUGCCUUUCAUAGAGCUUACCACUUACGGCAUACUGACACUUCUUCAUGUUUUCAUUUAGAGGUCGUAUUCGAGAGCCAUUUAUCUUCACACGUUACAGCAAUCGCAUACCGAACUUCAACCUUAUCGAAACAAAAGAAAAGAAAUUGUGAGAAUCCGUAAGACUGGAUCAAAUGAAUCGACAUCAAAACUAAAAGGCGACGGCUUUUAAAAUGGGUUAUCAACAACAUUGACGAAAAAAAGAAAUUGAUCAUUGCCAUAACUUUAGAUUCGAACUACAGAGACUUGCCGGUGGAGACAUGGGACUUUCGGUUGGAUUUUGUUAACAGAGCUUUCGAUUUUUCGCUGGAGGCUUUCGGGUUUGCUUGCUUGCAAGUAAGUUCAGACGAAGCGGUUGAGCAAUCUUUAUAUGAGGAUAAAGAUAGGGAGGUGGAACGAAACUACAAAGGAAUUAGUGAGCAGCAUUGAUUGAUCAAGAAGAGCUCACCGAAACGGACAUCAGGGAGAACCAAGAUGGUGAAGACGAAGUGGAACGCAAUCGAUGCGUCAGAUAGUAUGAUUUUUGGUUGAUGGGUUUGACAUAGGAUCAAGUUAAUUUUUUAGAACACUCUAAGCCCAUUUCUAUCUUCCCUCUGUAGCUUAUAUUAUGACAUGGUCAAAUAAGUGUUUCUUAUUGGUCAAUUUUUUAAUCUUACAUGGAUAGUCUCUCCUUUGAGCAUAUCCUCUUUUACUUAUUGUUUGAUUUUAAUGUAAAAGUGGUGGUAAUGAUUAUGCCAUGUGGCAUUUUUUUGUAAAUUUCCUAAAAAUUAGAUUUGGACAACUAUAUUUUUUAAUUUAUUUAUAGGUUGACACAUAAACGAAAUUAACAGCUUAAUUAACUGAAACAUAAAAAAAAAAAAAAUUUAAUUAGUACAAAAUACAUGUUAUAACUUUUUAAAUGUUUCUCUAUUAAUAUAUAGGGAAUUCCAAACAAACUUUAUUAACCCGCCGGAAACAUUUCUUUGUCAAUUUUAUAUAGAAAUUUGAUUCGUUUAAAAACCUUCAUAUCAUAAGUUCAUAACAUAUUCUUACUGUUCAAUUUUUUUUUUCUUUUUGGAAUUUUCGGUACACAUCUGGGUUUCUUAUUGUUUUCAAUAAAGACUGGCUUACAAAUUAGCAAUAAAAUAAAACAGCAUACAUCUUACCCUUAUCGCUUUUCUAUAUACUACCCCACUGGAUUCUUACCAACAACUGUAGUUUGUCUUACUCAAAACAUCAACCAGGAAAGUUAGAACCCACAAAAAAAAGGGAAAUGGAUCUUGCUCCUGAAAGUUCACUUAUUGAGAAAGAAAAUCUAGACUCAUCGGCUACAACUAUAACUCUAUUCCUCACUACUUUUGUAGCUGUGGCUGGUUCCUUCGUUUUUGGCUCAGCUAUAGGAUACUCAUCACCCGUCCAGUCCGACUUAACGAACGACUUGAAUCUAUCUGUGGCAGAGUAUUCGCUCUUCGGUUCGAUUUUGACAGUUGGGGCAAUGAUUGGUGCAGCUAUGAGUGGACGAAUUUCUGAUUUGAUUGGCAGACGAGCUACAAUGGGUUUCUCGGAGAUGUUUUGCAGUCUUGGUUGGUUAGUGAUCUACCUUUCUAAGGUUACAAUUUGGCUUGACGCUGGAAGAUUCUUGGUCGGUUACGGGAUGGGCAUUCUUUCGUUUGUGGUCCCUGUAUAUAUAGCUGAGAUUACUCCUAAGGAUCUUCGAGGUUGCUUUACAACAGUUCAUCAGCUAAUGAUAUGUUUGGGUGUCUCCAUAACAUAUCUACUAGGCUCUUUUGUUGGUUGGCGAAUAUUGGCUUUGAUAGGUAUGGUACCAUGUGUUGUACAAAUUAUGGGAUUAAUUUUCAUUCCAGAAUCACCAAGAUGGUUGGCAAAAGUUGGCAGAUGGGAAGAAUUUGAAAUUGUAUUGCAACGAUUAAGAGGAGAAUCUGCAGACGUUUCUAAUGAAUCUAGUGAGAUCAAAGAGUAUACACGCAGACUGUCACAAAUUUCAGAAGGUGGUAUAUUUGAUUUGUUCCAAGAGCAGUACUCGAAAUCUCUACUUGUGGGAGUUGGUCUAAUGGCAUUGCAACAAUUUGGAGGCGUUAAUGGAAUUUCCUUUUAUGCCAGCUCUAUUUUUGUAUCUGCGGGGCUUUCUUCCAAAAUUGGAAUGAUUGCAAUGGUUAUUGUACAGAUCCCAAUGACAACUAUAGGCGUAAUUCUGAUGGAUAAAUCAGGCAGACGACCACUCAUUCUUAUUUCUGCUGCGGGCACAUUUAUCGGGUGUUUACUCGUCGCCUUAUCAUUUUCCUUACAGGGUGUAAGGACGUUUAGUGGAGGGGCUUCAUAUAUAGCCCUCACUGGCGUUCUGGUGUAUACAGGUUCAUUUUCGCUAGGAAUGGGUGGGAUACCUUGGGUCAUUAUGUCAGAGAUAUAAAAGGAUCAGCAGGAAGUCUUGUGACUGUUGUUAGCUGGGUUGGAUCUUGGAUUGUAUCCUUUGCAUUUAACUUCCUAAUGAAUUGGAGUCCUGCAGGAACAUUUUAUGUUUUCGCUACAAUUUGCGGGGUUACUGUUAUAUUUGUAGCAAAACUUGUACCAGAAACCAAAAGUCGAACGCUUGAGGAAAUUCAAUUUUCUAUUAAUUAUGUAACAUUGUAAUGUUUAGAUUGUUUAUUACAAAGAUACCAAUUAUUAAACACUAACUUUUAAAUAUGAUAUUUCCUUUCUUUUUUA
Molecule: RNA transcript, 3974 nt
Organism: Brassica napus (rape)
Lineage: Eukaryota; Viridiplantae; Streptophyta; Magnoliopsida; Brassicales; Brassicaceae
Gene name: sugar transporter ERD6-like 5
Exons: 18
Source: RefSeq, a predicted model, not a curated record